RNAcentral lists this non-coding RNA (21 nucleotides) under Arabidopsis thaliana (thale cress). The record is from RNAcentral. Lineage: Eukaryota; Viridiplantae; Streptophyta; Magnoliopsida; Brassicales; Brassicaceae.
GUGAUAGUCUACGCAGCACUA